This 440-nucleotide ribosomal RNA is filed under the name uncultured bacterium. RNAcentral's name for it is "partial 16S ribosomal RNA". It matches the Rfam family "Bacterial small subunit ribosomal RNA", at positions 338 to 795 of the family's 1533-position model. The record is from RNAcentral.
CCUACGGGUGGCUGCAGUGGGGAAUAUUGCACAAUGGGGGACACCCUGAUGCAGCAACGCCGCGUGAGUGAAGAAGUACUUCGGUAUGUAAAGCUCUAUCAGCAGGGAAGAAAAUGACGGUACCUGAUCAAGAAGCCCCGGCUAACUCCGUGCCAGCAGCCGCGGUAAUACGUAGGGGGCAAGCGUUAUCCGGAUUUACUGGGGGUAAAGGGAGCGUAGACGGGAGAGCAAGUCAGAAGUGAAAUUCCAGGGCUUAACCCUAGAACUGCAUUGGAAACUGGGAAGCUAGAGUGCAGGAGAGGUAGGUGGAAUUCGUAGUGUAGCGGUGAAAUGCGUAGAUAUUAGGAGGAACACCAGUGGCGAAGGCGGCUUACUAGACUGUAACUGACGUUGAGGCUCGAAAGCGUGGGGAGCAAACAGGAUUAGAUACCCCAGUAGUC